Molecule: ribosomal RNA, 394 nt
Filed under: uncultured bacterium
Lineage: Bacteria
Description: bacterial SSU rRNA
Rfam family: Bacterial small subunit ribosomal RNA
Source: RNAcentral
AUUGGUCAAUGGGGGAAACCCUGAACCAGCAACGCCGCGUGAGGGAUGACGGUCUUCGGAUUGUAAACCUCUGUCCUCUGUGAAGAUAAUGACGGUAGCAGAGGAGGAAGCUCCGGCUAACUACGUGCCAGCAGCCGCGGUAAUACGUAGGGAGCAAGCGUUGUCCGGAUUUACUGGGUGUAAAGGGGGAGCAGGCGGUCGUAAGGGUCCAUCGGUAAAAGACCGGGGCUAAACUCCGGGAAGGCGAGGAAACCGUACGACUAGAGUACAGCAGAGGAUCGUGGAAUUCCAUGUGUAGCGGUGAAAUGCGUAGAUAUAUGGAGGAACACCAGUGGCGAAGGCGACGAUCUGGGCUGAAACAGACGCUGAGUCCCGAAAGCGUGGGGAGCAAAUA